GAGUUUGAUCCUGGCUCAGAUUGAACGCUGGCGGCAUGCUUUACACAUGCAAGUCGAACGGCAGCGGGGGCUUCGGUCCGCCGGCGAGUGGCGAACGGGUGAGUAAUGCAUCGGAACGUACCCAGUCGUGGGGGAUAACGCAGCGAAAGCUGUGCUAAUACCGCAUACGUCCUGAGGGAGAAAGCGGGGGACCUUCGGGCCUCGCGCGAUUGGAGCGGCCGAUGUCGGAUUAGCUAGUUGGUGGGGUAAAGGCUCACCAAGGCGACGAUGGUUAGCGGGUCUGAGAGGAUGAUCCGCCACACUGGCACUGGAAUACGGGCCAGACUCCUACGGGAGGCAGCAGUGAGGAAUAUUGCGCAAUGGGGGCAACCCUGACGCAGCGACGCCGCGUGAGUGAGGAAGGCCUUCGGGUCGUAAAGCUCUGUCAAGAGGGAAGAAAUGCAUGGUGGUUAAUAUCUGUCAUGUUUGACGGUACCUCUAAAGGAAGCGCCGGCUAACUCCGUGCCAGCAGCCGCGGUAAUAA
Molecule: ribosomal RNA, 523 nt
Filed under: uncultured Pseudomonadota bacterium
Lineage: Bacteria; Pseudomonadati; Pseudomonadota
Description: bacterial SSU rRNA
Rfam family: Bacterial small subunit ribosomal RNA
Source: RNAcentral